UAGGUAGGUGGUCUCAUUUGUCUGAGGUGAAAGCCUUGAGCUUAACUCAAGAAGUGCCUUAGAAACGGUGAGACUGGAGUCCUGGAGAGGGUCGUGGAAUUCCCGGUGUAGCGGUGAAAUGCGUAGAGAUCGGGAGGAACACCAGCGGCGAAGGCGGCGACCUGGACAGGUACUGACACUCAACUACGAAAGCGUGGGUAGCAAACA
This 207-nucleotide ribosomal RNA is filed under the name uncultured bacterium. Its description in RNAcentral is "partial 16S ribosomal RNA". It matches the Rfam family "Bacterial small subunit ribosomal RNA", at positions 568 to 774 of the family's 1533-position model. The record is from RNAcentral.